CGUGCCUGGCAGCGGGCCGGACAUGGCGGCAGGCAGCGGCGCCGAGCCCCCCGGGCCGCCGAGCCCCCCGGGCCGCCGGGACCUCGCGAGCGGGGCCGGAACGGCCUCUCGCAGAAAGAUGCCUUGAAGUAGAGGAGCCUGGUUUCCAGUCACAGGGCUGCGAGGUCACUCUCUGGAGAUGGCUCUAAUGUCAAGGUAGAGCUACCACAUACUGAUUGUCAACCAGUUGAUGUUACAGCUCUUUGGGUCCCAUGGAAGGCAGUGAGACAGCAAGAGCAAGACAUAUUUCUGGGUGUUUGUGCUGAAAACAUCUUGUCUGAGGAAGAAGGGAUUGGGUGAAAUCAAUGUGUGAGCUUGGGGAGGAGUGUUUGUAAAUUCGAUGUGUUGUCUGCCUGGAGAUGUUAAGCAAUGGUAACAGUUUCAGUGUUUUUGUUACACAUACAUUAAAACUCUCAAAAAACACACCAACUGGGUCUGAUUUUGUCAGUUGACUGCAUUAAGGAAUGACUUCCCUUUAAUAAACAUGCUGAUCAAAUAGAUGUAUACACAGCAGUAUGAUUACUGCAGAUAAUGCAACUGGGGUUUAGUUGUGUAAGCAUUCUGUCUGGUGUUUGGCAAUUUACUUGCUUUGAACAGUUUAAACAAGUGAUGCUAAUACUGCUGCUGUAAUUACUGGAGAGAUUAGACCUUAAAUACCCCUAAUUGCAAAAACAAAUGUAGUUAUUUCGGUAGCUUGUCUCCAGACUUGCUAUGUCUUCAUUACUUUGCUGCUACUGUGCAGCAACAGCAUUCUAGACAGUGUUGUGCAUCUCUUCUAUCAGUCAAAUGUGCGGAUCAAGAGAAAAGAGACUCAUACUUGUCAGCAUUCUUCACUAUUGCUCAUAAGAGUGGUGAAAAACCUGCUUUUGUAAUAAUAACUCUUGCAAGAUUGGUCUACAAAGGGGGUUGAUAAGAUAAAAGGUUUGGAGGGGGGAUCUUGAUUAAAAUGGAGGUGAUGGAAUGAGAAAAGCAGCAUCCAAGGCUGAAACUUCCAAUUAAAUUGUGUCAAUAUACUUGGCAUGCUGUAACACAUCAGCACUCUAUACUUGAAGGAGAGAGGUGUAAUGCCAGAUUUGAAGAAACCUGAAGAGAUUGAGUGUGGCCGCUAGUAGAAACUGGCAUAGUGCAAGAUGUUGCUGAUUUUGCCCACUUGGUGUCACCAAAUGGAAGUUUUUUUAGCGGGGACUUCUGUUUGUGCAUCUUGGAAAAGGUAAACAUUAAAACUAAUUCCUGGUGA
Long non-coding RNA from Pogoniulus pusillus (Red-fronted tinkerbird), 1276 nucleotides. RefSeq lists it as uncharacterized. Lineage: Eukaryota; Metazoa; Chordata; Aves; Piciformes; Lybiidae. The transcript has 6 exons. The record is from RefSeq and is a predicted model, not a curated record.